AAGGUGAUUGUCCAAAGUGGCCAAGGAUGGAGUUUGGAGACUUCCUUGAGAUGAUAAAAAAAGGAUGCUAAGAACAUACUCACCAGUGGUUCCAGGGAUCCUCGUUCCAGCCCAACAUACUGGAAAGAGAGCUGCUAUCUCCCGACAUCCAUGAUUGACUCUCCUGGGAUCUACCCUCUAACCCCAGUUGCAAUCUGACCAGCUUUAUUCAGGAGAAGCACUAAACCCUAAAGCAUACAGUUGGUCCUGUGUCAGAAGGCUGGGACUUACCCAUGAGAAAGCAUAAGCUCUCCCUGCAGUGGAGCUUGCUGGGAAUGCAAGGUGAUAGGGAGCCCACAGGACCUUGCCCUAGAGGGCCUUACAUCGAAUAAGCCUACAUUGUUGAAUCACAUGCACUGAAGACUACAGAAUAAAUCAUAGAAAAAGGAAUAAAAGUGAUGAUUGAAAAGAAAAGCCAGCAAUAUCCUCCUGCUUAGUUUCCCUUGAAAAGAAUGAGCAAAGUGAUCUGUGUAGCCUUGCAACCAGGGGACAGAUUUCCUGUGUAGGGCUCACAACUCUGGAAAGGAACUGGACAUACUGAGAAAGCACCCUAUAAGGAAAGGCACUUCUUUGCAAGCCAAGAUUAUAAGCCUACCUCUGAUGAUCAGCUCUUAAAAAUGAACACAAAACAGAAGACAGCUUUGAGAGGUGCUGUGGAAAG
Molecule: long non-coding RNA, 700 nt
Organism: Myotis davidii
Lineage: Eukaryota; Metazoa; Chordata; Mammalia; Chiroptera; Vespertilionidae
Exons: 7
Source: RefSeq, a predicted model, not a curated record